AGUGAACGCUGGCGGUAAGCCUAACACAUGCAAGUCGAACGGCAGCACAGUAAGAGCUUGCUCUUACGGGUGGCGAGUGGCGGACGGGUGAGGAGUACAUCGGAAUCUACUUUUUCGUGGGGGAUAACGUAGGGAAACUUACGCUAAUACCGCAUACGACCUACGGGUGAAAGCAGGGGAUCUUCGGACCUUGCGCGAUUGAAUGAGCCGAUGUCGGAUUAGCUAGUUGGCGGGGUAAAGGCCCACCAAGGCGACGAUCCGUAGCUGGUCUGAGAGGAUGAUCAGCCACACUGGAACUGAGACACGGUCCAGACUCCUACGGGAGGCAGCAGUGGGGAAUAUUGGACAAUGGGCGCAAGCCUGAUCCAGCCAUACCGCGUGGGUGAAGAAGGCCUUCGGGUUGUAAAGCCCUUUUGUUGGGAAAGAAAAGCAGCAGGUUAAUACCCCGCUGUUCCGACGGUACCCAAAGAAUAAGCACCGGCUAACUUCGUG
This 492-nucleotide ribosomal RNA is filed under the name uncultured bacterium. RNAcentral's name for it is "partial 16S ribosomal RNA". It matches the Rfam family "Bacterial small subunit ribosomal RNA", at positions 29 to 507 of the family's 1533-position model. The record is from RNAcentral.